Molecule: ribosomal RNA, 421 nt
Filed under: uncultured bacterium
Lineage: Bacteria
Description: bacterial SSU rRNA
Rfam family: Bacterial small subunit ribosomal RNA
Source: RNAcentral
GGAAUUUUGGGCAAUGGGCGAAAGCCUGACCCAGCAACGCCGCGUGAAGGAUGAAAUCUCUCGGGAUGUAAACUUCGCAAGAACGGGAAGAAUAAGUAAGGGUUAAUAUACCUUACGAUGACGGUACUGUUUGUAAGCUCCGGCUAACUCCGUGCCAGCAGCCGCGGUAAUACGGGGGGACCAAGCGUUGCUCGGCUUGACUGGGCGUAAAGGGCGCGUAGGCGGCCACCGCAAGUCGACUGUGAAAUCUCCGGGCUUAACUCGGAAAGGUCAGCCGAUACUGCGGGGCUAGAGUGCAGAAGGGGCAACUGGAAUUCUCGGUGUAGCGGUGAAAUGCGUAGAUAUCGAGAGGAACACCUGCGGCGAAGGCGGGUUGCUGGGCUGACACUGACGCUGAGGCGCGAAAGCUAGGGGAGCGAAC